RNAcentral lists this ribosomal RNA (549 nucleotides) under uncultured eukaryote. Its description in RNAcentral is "SSU rRNA". It matches the Rfam family "Eukaryotic small subunit ribosomal RNA", at positions 21 to 575 of the family's 1831-position model. The record is from RNAcentral.
UAGUCAUAUGCUUGUCUCAAAGAUUAAGCCAUGCAUGUCUAAGUAUAAGCAAUUAUACCGCGAAACUGCGAAUGGCUCAUUAUAUAAGUUAUCGUUUAUUUGAUAGUACCUUACUACUUGGAUAACCGCGGUAAUUCUAGAGCUAAUACAUGCUAAAAAUCCCGACUUCGGAAGGGAUGUAUUUAUUAGAUUAAAAGCCAAUGCCCUCUGGGCUCUCUGGUGAUUCAUGAUAACUUCUCGAAUCGCAUGGCCUUGCGCCGGCGAUGGUUCAUUCAAAUUUCUUCCCUAUCAACUUUCGAUGUUUGGGUAUUGGCCAAACAUGGUUGCAACGGGUAACGGAGGGUUAGGGCUCGACCCCGGAGAAGGAGCCUGAGAAACGGCUACUACAUCCAAGGAAGGCAGCAGGCGCGCAAAUUACCCAAUCCCGACACGGGGAGGUAGUGACAAUAAAUACUGAUACAGGGCUCUUUUGGGUCUUGUAAUUGGAAUGAGUACAAUUUAAAUCCCUUAACGAGGAACAGUUGGGGGGCAAGUCUGGUGCCAGCAGCC